RNAcentral lists this long non-coding RNA (2450 nucleotides) under Equus caballus (horse). Its description in RNAcentral is "lncRNA (ENSECAG00000056629.1)". The record is from RNAcentral. Lineage: Eukaryota; Metazoa; Chordata; Mammalia; Perissodactyla; Equidae.
CCACAGUUUGGCUUUUGCCAUGCUGUGCCAUGUCCGCACCCGGGAUCCGAACUGGCAAACCCCAGGCUGCUGAGAAGCGGAACAUGUGGACUUAACCACUGCACCACCAGGCCGGCCCUACCAGUCCCUGCUCUCAGUGCCCUAGAGACCCAGCAGGUACCUUGCUAAACGAGAUGGUGACAGGACUCGCAGGACUCAGCGUACCGUGACUGCCCCCCGCCAAGAUGUGCUGUGUUUCCGACUAGCUCUCUGAUUCUCCAAACCAGCCCUGGUCCUCAGCUUUCCUGUGGAGAGACCGCUUCUGUGGAAAGGGCUUGUUUCAGCCCAUCGGACACUGAGAAGAUCGAGGUGGCGAGCCUCGGAAUCCUCUGGGGCACCCCAGGCUGAGAAACGUUGAAGACCAGAGGCUAGGAAGCCACCAGCAGGAAAGGGGCUCUGGAGGGGACUUCUGAACUUGGAGACUCCUUCUUCCUUUCACAAAACCCUGUUAUUCCUCCCAAGGAGAAAUCACGCCUAGCUGAAAAGUCUGAGGACAGGGUGACAGCUGGCAGCCGCUGUGGAGGCAAGCAGUCCAUACCUUCAGCCUAUUGAGUCCUGGUUGCCUUUGAUGUAGGCAUUUCCUGUGGUCCAGCAAGUGAGAGCAAGGUGGGAAAGGCUGGCAUGGGGAGUGUCUGCUGACCCUAGCAUUUCCAAAGCGAAACCUUCCAGUUGCUUCUAGAAUCUAGGCCCUGCAUUGUAAAAUGUUGUGGGUGCAGGCUGCCCCACUCGAUCCCCAUUUAGGAAUUAACUAUUUUAAAGUAACAAAGAGAUUUCACUCUUCUUCAGCCGUCCAAGGGACACCAUUUAUCCUGUCUGCAGAGCAGCAUCAGUGACAGGCUAUGGGGGUGGGAGGCAGGGGUGAGAGCAGAGGCCCAGCACAAUACAGAAGUCCCUGACUCGCUGUUCCUGGGCCUCCCCAGCCCCACGGGUGUGGAUGCAAAGAAUCCUGGGCAGGGAAGCCAGAGAAGAGCCGCUGGGAACUAACUUCCUAACUGCCUUUAUAGCUGACGUCCCCUCUCUGGGUCCCUGUUCCUUGCUCCCACAAAAUCAAACAUUUGACUGGAAGGGACUGCAAGCAGCUUUCAACGCAUACCCUAAUUCUGAUCCAUUCGUAGAAGCUGCCUGCAGAGCCAUGUUGAGGGUUUUGAGGGCUGGCGGGAGGGAGAGAGCUGGGAUGCAUUAGCAAUGUCUGCUAUGAGGAUGGGAAGGAGAGCAGUCGCCCUUUCCCUUGCUAUAUAUUUACCACUCCUGCCGUUGAUAUCCGAAGUCUUCUUUGCCCCAGAUCUUGUAGGAUUUUAUGAUUCCUCUUGCCUGUGCUGUUUGCUUGACCUUCCUCAAGGAGCUAUUUCAGGGGCUGUUCCCACCCACCAGGAACUGACAGUGGCCUGCAGAUGUUUGCUUGUAGGGCUGGGCCAUGCGAGUUAGUGAUAACCAAGGCCAGAGUUAGUGAUAACCAAGGCCAGAGGUGCCCGGCUCUCCUUGAGACCGGAAAUAAGCUGAAAAGUGAGUCUUUCUCUGUCAACGCUAUCCUGAGACCCACAGGGCAUGAAGCACAGCCAAGGCGGAUCACCCCUUCCAAGAUGACCCACUCUGAGACAAACGCAGGAUGCGGCCUCUAUCCACAUAGUUUAGGCACAGAGGACUGAGAAAGCCAAAGACCACAUGAAAAAAGGGAAAAGAAUUUUGAGCAGAGGCCUCCUGGGAGUGGGGUGGUCUCCCUGUGGGUAAAGGGGAGACGGUAACAGUGCCUCCUCUGAGAGGGGUCCCUGUGACAGUGCAAGGGGAUGAUGCAUGCAAAGUGCUCAGCACAGAGCCCGACACCAGUACUCAUCCCUAAUAAAAGCGAUCCGGUGGCCAUGGCACUAUUCUCUAGGAUCACUCUUUGGUGGCAUUGGGCCUACAGAUGUUAAGUCUCCUCUGAAGCUAGCCCUCCCCUCCGCAGGGUGGGAGCCUGCUAUCUCACCAUUGGGGCCCCGAGUUGGCCAGUUCCAAUAACACGAUUAGUCAUUUUUCAUUCCUGAGAUGUCUACCCAUGGGUGGGUGCAUGUGUGCAUGUGUGAGUCCGUAUGUGCCUUUCAGAGCAGGGGAAAAUCCAUAUUCUCUCUCUUCUGACCGAAUUAAUCAAAUAAAUCUUCUGUAAGGAGCUGCUAAAUGAAUCACAGAUGGCUCUGCCCUUUUACAGGUUGCAGAAAGCCCCCGUUACAGUUCUUUUAAUUUAUCAGAGGAAAAAAGAUGCCCUCGUGUGCCCCGUCCCGCUUGCAAUAAUAAUCAGAACCAGUCUAUUUUCCAAGGGUCCAAGACUCAUUUUCCAAAAAUGUGUAUCAAUAGAUGGAACCGCGGGAAGACUAUUUUGCCAAGUUCCAGCCUCCAGCAAGCAAAGGUGCCCUGGCUGGGGAGAGCGUUUAUAAAAC